Molecule: long non-coding RNA, 1400 nt
Organism: Cyprinus carpio carpio
Lineage: Eukaryota; Metazoa; Chordata; Actinopteri; Cypriniformes; Cyprinidae
Source: Ensembl
GUGGGAUAUUAGUUUUGGUCAAUUCUGUAAUAACUACAUCAAACUGCACUGAAUGUUUUCAAAUAAUUUUUGCAUUGUUUAGACGUUAACAAUUGUCAGUUAUUAUUAAACAGAAAUAUAACAUAACUGUUUAUUGCAUUUACUAGUGAAACUGAUCCCAUUUUGAAUGUCUCUGCAUGAGUUUACAAGUUAUAAUUAUGAGGAUGCAAAUGCUUUUAACAAGUCAGAAUCUCUUAAUUACAAUAAUGUUGAUAUGAAUGCACAUUGGGUACUGUAUGUCUGAAAUAUACCAGAUAUACUAUACUAUACUAGAAGGUCUGGUAUAGUGAGCACUAGUCACUGGGCUGAAAUAUGUUGUUUUGGAAAAAAAUACCCUGACCUUUUUGGUGGGCUUGACACCUCAGAACACACAGGGGAAACGUGAUCAUACAAAUCAUCCAGAUGUCAAAAUAUGGUAUGUGUCACAUGUGAUAUGGGUCUGCAUUUCUACACCACCUCUGUGCUAUAUGCAGGAGGUAUGAGAAGAGAGGUUGCCUUAUGCCCCAGUUCACAAUAAACAAUCUUUCAUUUUGUUUUGGUCAAGUCCUGCUGUCUCAUGCUAUUCCCUGGCUAGGAGUUCACAGUGUCCUUGAUAUGCUUGAGAAAACAAAAGGACAUUGUAGAGCACUCUUUGUGAAGUAUGUUUUGAGACAGAUUUCAGUUAUCAAAUUUUUUGCCACCAGAUCCAUGUAUCCAGGUUAAAUGGUCACUGCAGUCACCCGGAUCCAGUACGUAUCCAGCCCAAGUGGUGGAUCAGCACCUAGAAAGGACCUCUACAGCCCCGAAUGUCAGUGGAGACCAGGACAACUACAGUAGAUGAGCCCCAGAUACAGAUCCCCUGUAAAGACCUUGUCUCAGAUGACCACCGGGACAAGGCCACAGGAACCAGUUGAGUCCUCUGCACAAUCUGACUUUGCUGCAGCCUGGAAUUGAACUGCUGGUUUCGUCUGGCCAGAGGAGAACUGGCCCCCCGACUGAGCCUGGUUUCUCCCAAGGUUUUUCUCCAUUCUGUCACAGACGGAGUUUUGGUUUCUUGCCGCUUUCACCUCUGGCUUGCUUAGUUAGGGACACUUAAUUUACAGCGAUAUCGUUGGCUUGAUUGCAAAUAAUUGCACAGAUACUAUUUAAACUGAACUGAGCUGCAUGAUGACAUCACUGAAUUCAGUGAUGAACUGCCUUUGACUGUCAUUUUGCAUUAUUGACACUGUUUUCAUAAUUAAUGUUGUUCAGUUGCUUUGACACAAUCUGUUUUGUUUAAAGCGCUAUAUACACAAAGGUGACUUGACUUGACUUGACUUGAUGGACUCACGCACAAUUUUCUAGUAAGAAAAUACAACUUGUAUCAGGUCAAGAUGUAUCAA